Molecule: ribosomal RNA, 233 nt
Filed under: uncultured bacterium
Lineage: Bacteria
Description: partial 16S ribosomal RNA
Rfam family: Bacterial small subunit ribosomal RNA
Source: RNAcentral
UGAGCAAUCUGCCCUUCUCAUCGGAAUAAGCGUUGGAAACGACGUCUAAUGCCGAAUACGACCUCCUUUCACAUGAUCGGAGGUGGAAAGCUCCGGCGGAGAAGGAUGAGCUCGCGGCCUAUCAGCUAGUUGGUGUGGGUAACGCCCACCAAGGCGACGACGGGUAGCCGGCCUGAGAGGGUGACCCGGCCACACUGGGACUGAGACACGGCCCAGACCUCCGUACGGGGAGG